RNAcentral lists this ribosomal RNA (253 nucleotides) under uncultured bacterium. Its description in RNAcentral is "partial 16S ribosomal RNA". It matches the Rfam family "Bacterial small subunit ribosomal RNA", at positions 524 to 776 of the family's 1533-position model. The record is from RNAcentral.
UACAGAGGUCCCAAGCGUUGUUCGGAUUCACUGGGCGUAAAGGGUGCGUAGGUGGUGAGGUAAGUCGGAUGUGAAAGCUCGGAGCUCAACUCCGAAAUGGCAUUGGAAACUACCUUGCUCGAGGGUUGGAGGGGGGACUGGAAUGCUUGGUGUAGCAGUGAAAUGCGUAGAUAUCAAGAGGAACACCAGUGGCGAAGGCGAGUCCCUGGACGAUACCUGACACUGAGGCACGAAAGCCAAGGGAGCAAACAGG